AUUGUUUGGUCAAUAGUCGUUUUAGAGAUAUCAGAUUAUUGUACUAUGAUAAGGAGAAUUAACGAGCAUAAAUCUUUCUAUGAAUUUGAAUUGACCUAAGUCAUUAGGAAAUUAUUUUUAUGGAAAAGGGUUCUUAGUCAUUAACACUGGUCUGAACUAUUUAGUUAAUUCAUCGUGACAAUAAGAGUGAAAAGGUAGCUUAGGACCGCAUUUACCAAA
RNAcentral lists this long non-coding RNA (219 nucleotides) under Trifolium pratense (red clover). Its description in RNAcentral is "long non-coding RNA (TPRA_LNC012233)". The record is from RNAcentral. Lineage: Eukaryota; Viridiplantae; Streptophyta; Magnoliopsida; Fabales; Fabaceae.